GGACCUUACUGCUAUCGGGAUAGGACUAAGACAUGUUAGUCGAGCGUUUCUCAGCUAUGAAAGAAACGCGGCAGACGGCUCAGUAACAUGUGGCUAACCUGCCCUUAGGACGGAGAUAACCCCGGGAAACUGGGGCUAAUAUUUGAUAGGUGUGGACUCCUGGAAUGGAUCCACACUCAAAGGGUGCUUAGAUCAUGCUUUAAGCGUCGCCUAAGGAUGGGGCCGCAGCCGAUCAGGUUGUUGGCGAGGUAACGGCUCACCAAGCCUAUAACCGGUACGGGCCGCGGGAGCGGUAGCCCGGAGAUGGACACUGAGACAAGGGUCCAGGCCCUACGGGGCGCAGCAGUCGCGAAAACUCCGCAAUACACGAAAGUGUGACGGGGCUAUCCCGAGUGCCGUCCGCUGAGGAUGGCUUUUCUCCAGUGUAAGGAGCUGGAGGAAUAAGGAGAGGGCAAGUCUGGUGUCAGCCGCCGCGGUAAUACCAGCUCUCCGAGUGG
This 497-nucleotide ribosomal RNA is filed under the name uncultured archaeon. Its description in RNAcentral is "bacterial SSU rRNA". It matches the Rfam family "Archaeal small subunit ribosomal RNA", at positions 19 to 491 of the family's 1478-position model. The record is from RNAcentral.